This 82-nucleotide ribosomal RNA is filed under the name Acacia cognata. RNAcentral describes it as "partial large subunit ribosomal RNA". It matches the Rfam family "Eukaryotic large subunit ribosomal RNA", at positions 1 to 79 of the family's 3401-position model. Lineage: Eukaryota; Viridiplantae; Streptophyta; Magnoliopsida; Fabales; Fabaceae. The record is from RNAcentral.
CGCGACCCCAGGUCAGGCGGGGCUUACCCGCUGAGUUUAAGCAUAUCAAUAAGCGGAGGAAAAGAAACUAACGAGGAUUCCC